Molecule: long non-coding RNA, 1551 nt
Organism: Ictalurus punctatus (channel catfish)
Lineage: Eukaryota; Metazoa; Chordata; Actinopteri; Siluriformes; Ictaluridae
Exons: 4
Source: RefSeq, a predicted model, not a curated record
AGCUACUCGGACGUGGUUAGGCUUAUCUAGAGGAGCUGAAAUCGGAUCCUGUGCUGCAGGAGUGGACUGGGUGGUCGGAGGAGCAGACGUGAGGAUCGACAGGGAUUCCACAUACUAAACCCCUCCAGGGGGAAUCAGGAGCAGAGGGUCACGCAUGAGUGAGCGGGGAACAGCUAGGGGGUAAACAGGCAUUACGCAUUACUGGCAUACCAUAGAGGGAGCUUGCUUUACACAACCUUCCCAUUAUCUCUCUAUUUCACACUACACAUACUUCCCCACACCGUCUACUAGGAUUUGUUUACAGACCAGGACAGCUGCAUUUUUCCUUUGGACUGCAGAUCGAAAACCAAACGGAGUACCGUUGCAGAAAUCUGAACCCCUGGUAGCAUUAACGACACUGACAUCCAUCUUGCCUGGGACUAGAGGAGGCCCACAGAUGAAGUCGUGACACUUGAAGUCUCUCGGCAGUGCAGAUCACUGUUUUGCAGUCAGAUUGCGUUUCUGACAAACGAGAGUGGAAAGAGGUGAUGACAGCAGCGCUGCCCUUUCUGAAAAAAAAAGAAAAAAAAAAGAUCUUUCCAUCAACGACUUGUGUGAAAAUCUGAUGAUGUUUUAGGUCCUAUUUAUGCAGAAAAACAGAAAAUUCUACAUUUCACAACUACGCAGGGUCAUGGGGGAACCUGGAGCCUAUCCCAUUGGGCACAAGGCGGGGUACACCCUGGACAGGGUGCCAGUCCAUCCCAGUGUUGCAGUGAAUCCAGUGAAUCCAGAAUCCAUUCACACACCUAUGGGCAAUUUCGCAUUACCAGUCUGCGUACCUGCAUGUUUUUGGAUAGCAGGAGGAAAACGAAGAAGCAGAACCCGGGGAGAACAUGAAAAACUCAGUACAGACAUGAAACUGUGCCAGCAUGCCAUUAAGAACAACAACAACAACAACAACAGCAACAACAACAAUAAUAAUCUGAAUCCAUCUGAAAAUCUUUGUACAUCAUGAGAUAUUGGUUAAAUAAUUUUACACCAAAACCCAGCUGAGAGAUCAGGCUAAAUAUUCUCACCACUGACUGAGGAGAUAGAGGGCACAGUGAAAUAACAACAGUAAUAAUUAAAAAAAUUCAACAGCAGUCUAGCGGAUCACUAAUUGAGGUUCAUAGUGAUAAUAAAGUGCUGAAGACCUCUGCUCACCAUGAGAAUAUAAUGAGAUUUGAUCUAUUAUUCAGGAUCAAUGUAACAGGGAAAUAGCCAACCUGGUAAAGCCAUCAGAAUGGGUCCUAUAUCUAUUAUGUAUUGGUUAAUAAAACAUUGUGUCUCUGAUAUUAUAAAGGCAUCUGAAGUGUUAAAACUAUCGGUUCUACGUUUUCACAAAAGGUGCUUGGAAAAUAUUUUGAGCUACAAUACCAUCAGUGCUAGUGUGGUGUAAUAUUGACAGUAAUUGGCCUCUUGAAGAGCUUAUUUCCUCCAAAGAAACACAUAUAUGACUCCAGUUGCUCUUUUAGGGAAAAAAAAAAAAACAAGAAAAGAAAAACAGAUUAAAACAGAUGGUGUGUAGUUUAA